Molecule: ribosomal RNA, 1446 nt
Filed under: uncultured marine cyanobacterium
Lineage: Bacteria; Bacillati; Cyanobacteriota
Description: bacterial SSU rRNA
Rfam family: Bacterial small subunit ribosomal RNA
Source: RNAcentral
GAGUUUGAUCAUGGCUCAGGAUGAACGCUGGCGGCGUGCUUAACACAUGCAAGUCGAACGAACCUUCGGGUUAGUGGCGGACGGGUGAGUAACGCGUGAGAAUCUGCCCUCAGGAGGGGGAUAACAGCUGGAAACGGCUGCUAAUACCCCAUAUGCCGCGAGGUGAAAUGAAUUUCGCCUGAGGAUGAGCUCGCGUCUGAUUAGCUAGUUGGUGUAGGUAAUGGCUCACCAAGGCAUCGAUCAGUAGCUGGUCUGAGAGGAUGAUCAGCCACACUGGGACUGAGACACGGCCCAGACUCCUACGGGAGGCAGCAGUGGGGAAUUUUCCGCAAUGGGCGAAAGCCUGACGGAGCAACGCCGCGUGAGGGAUGAAGGCCUCUGGGCUGUAAACCUCUUUUAUCAAGGAAGAAGAUCUGACGGUACUUGAUGAAUAGGCCACGGCUAAUUCCGUGCCAGCAGCCGCGGUAAUACGGGAGUGGCAAGCGUUAUCCGGAAUUAUUGGGCGUAAAGCGUCCGCAGGCGGCCCUUCAAGUCUGCUGUUAAAAAGUGGAGCUUAACUCCAUCAUGGCAGUGGAAACUGAGGGGCUUGAGUGUGGCAGGGGCAGAGGGAAUUCCCGGUGUAGCGGUGAAAUGCGUAGAUAUCGGGAAGAACACCAGUGGCGAAGGCGCUCUGCUGGGCCAUCACUGACGCUCAUGGACGAAAGCCGGGGGAGCGAAAGGGAUUAGAUACCCCUGUAGUCCUGGCCGUAAACGACGAACACUAGGUGUCGGGGGAAUCGACCCCCUCGGUGUCGUAGCCAACGCGUUAAGUGUUCCGCCUGGGGAGUACGCACGCAAGUGUGAAACUCAAAGGAAUUGACGGGGGCCCGCACAAGCGGUGGAGUAUGUGGUUUAAUUCGAUGCAACGCGAAGAACCUUACCAGGGUUUGACAUCCUGCGAAUCUUUUGGAAACGAGAGAGUGCCUUCGGGAGCGCAGUGACAGGUGGUGCAUGGCUGUCGUCAGCUCGUGUCGUGAGAUGUUGGGUUAAGUCCCGCAACGAGCGCAACCCACGUCUUUAGUUGCCAGCAUUUAGUUGGGCACUCUAGAGAGACCGCCGGUGAUAAACCGGAGGAAGGUGUGGAUGACGUCAAGUCAUCAUGCCCCUUACAUCCUGGGCUACACACGUACUACAAUGCUACGGACAAAGGGCAGCAAGUUCGCGAGGACAAGCAAAUCCCAUAAACCGUGGCUCAGUUCAGAUCGUAGGCUGCAACUCGCCUACGUGAAGGAGGAAUCGCUAGUAAUCGCAGGUCAGCAUACUGCGGUGAAUACGUUCCCGGGCCUUGUACACACCGCCCGUCACACCAUGGAAGUUGGCCACGCCCGAAGCCGUUACUCCAACCCUUGUGGAGGAGGACGUCGAAGGUGGGGCUGAUGACUGGGGUGAAGUCGUAACAAGGUAACC